This 1489-nucleotide long non-coding RNA is filed under the name Nicotiana tabacum (common tobacco). RNAcentral describes it as "long non-coding RNA (NTAB_LNC012405)". Lineage: Eukaryota; Viridiplantae; Streptophyta; Magnoliopsida; Solanales; Solanaceae. The record is from RNAcentral.
GCAGAGAAGAAUAAAUGAGAGAGACUUUGUUGGUGAAAACUCCCCGGGGCACCACUAGUCGAAAGUGAGUCGCGAAGCUGAUGCAAAGAAUUGGCACAAACAAGCCCGACUUCAAAGCUCAUAAGAAUGGUAAAAGGAAAGAUUACAGCAGUUGAUAGAUCAUGCCGUUAAGUACAAAAUGCAUGUCAUGAUCAUUAAUGCUAGUUAUUGAAAAGAAAGAAGAAGAAAAAAAUAUAAAAAAACCUUCUUUCUAUCCUUCCCAACAGGGACAUUUCUUGUUAAUAUUAUUUCUUUGCAUCAUUUGUGUCCUUCACUUUGAGUACAUCCUUGUCAAAACAAGCAAGAAAAGAUUUCAAAAUCUGCUACCAGCUUUUCAAUUGCACAAAGUAAAAUUGGCCAGCACACUCAGUUGUCACUUUCAACAUGUCCUGAGGAUUCAUGCAAAGUCUCCCCCCAAAAGACUCUUGUCAGCCUACUUGGCGCAAGCAAAGAUAACUUGUGACUUUAUCUGACAAACAAAUUGCUCAAAAAACAAUAAGUCAUUCAUGAUAUCAGAAAGGGUCAUCUAAGCAAAGAUCUCCAGUUGUGAUAAGGCUGAUUGAGAUGCAAAUAUAAAUGGUACUGGGUGUGAAAAAAUCAGAGUUGAUGCAGAACAAAAGUCUCUUGAGACCGAGUCAGGCUGAUCGAGCAAAAGCCAAGCUACUCAAGACUCAAGGCCACAAACCGACCACCAUUUUCAAAACUAACAAAUUUCUCUUUGUGUGAAAUGGGAACAAAGCAAUGCAAGAAAAGUGGUUCAAAAAUAAAACCAAAAGAAAAAACAAAAAAAAAGAGAAAAAAGAAAAGAAAAAAAAGAGAAAAAAGAAGAAGAAAAGAAAAACAAAAAAAGAAGAAGAGAAGAGCCGACAAAAGGAAGUUUCUCAAAUCUUUGCCUUUAUUUAUCUUGCUAUUGUGCAUAAAAUCUUGUCAUUGAUUUUUAAAUUUUUCCUCCUAGGAUAAAAAGUACAAGUCUGAUGGAUUUUCCUCCCAAUAAAAAUCUUAGUCUGAUGAAUUUUUCUCCUAAGAUAAGAAAACCUAGUCUGAUGAAUCUUUCUCCUAGGAUAUAAAUCUUAGUCUGAUGAAUCUUUCUCCUGAGAUAACAAAAAAAAAGAACCUAGUCUGAUGAAUUUUCUCCUAGGAUCAAACAUCUUAGUCUGGUGAAUCUCUCUCCUAAAAUACAAAAAAAAUCUUAGUCUGAUGAAUUUUCCUCCUAAGAUAGAAGACCUAGUCUGAUGAACUUUAUCCUAGGAUAAAAAUCUUAGUGUGAUGAAUCUUUCUCCUAAGAUACCAAAAAUAAGAGACCUAGUCUGAUGAAUUUUCUCCUAGGAUCAAAAUCUUAGUCUGAUGAAUUUUUCUUCUAAGAUAGAAGACCUAGUCUGAUGAACUUUCUCCUAGGAUAAAAAUCUUAGUUUGAUGAAUCUUUCUCCUAAGAUACAAAAAAAAGAGACCU